AUUUAGCAGUGAGGGAUAUUGGUCAAUAGCCUAACGGCUGAACCAGCAACUUGGGAGGAAUGUAUAGCGAAAGCUGGUUGUAUUAACUGUUAGUUAAUGCAACAUCGACCAUGUCGAAUAAAAUUCUAGAUAGAAUUAUGAUAAUGACAUUGUCUAUCUAUAUGUCUUGACAAAGUCACGUGCCAGCAGUCGCGGUAAUACGUGGUAGACUAGUGUUAUUCAUCUUUAAUAGGUUUAAAGGGUACUUAGACGGUAAAUUAAGCCACCAAAAUGGUACUAAUUUUCUAGAGUUUUAUGCGAGGGGGGGUGUAUUGAAGAGUGGAGAGAUGAAAUUUUGUGAUACCUUCUGGAACAGUCAACGGCGAAAGCAACCCUUUAUGUAAAAACUGACGUUGAGGGGACGAAG
RNAcentral lists this ribosomal RNA (406 nucleotides) under Parainoa subconcolor. RNAcentral's name for it is "SSU rRNA". It matches the Rfam family "Bacterial small subunit ribosomal RNA", at positions 346 to 758 of the family's 1533-position model. The record is from RNAcentral. Lineage: Eukaryota; Fungi; Ascomycota; Lecanoromycetes; Baeomycetales; Baeomycetaceae.